GACGGUCCAACCGUCGUUAAAUUAUGGAUAAACGUGACAAGUUUAAAUAUUUUUUUAAAUGUUACCGAUACUUUACCCAUAGAUAAUACCCACAGUCUAUAGCCGUCAAUAAUUACUGACACCUAGACCUUUAAUAAUAUAACACAUUACAAAGAAAUCAAUAAUAAAACUUAAAAAACUAAUUAAAAAUGUUUUGGAAAAAAAAUAAAUAUUAUUUA
RNAcentral lists this long non-coding RNA (218 nucleotides) under Lathyrus oleraceus (garden pea). RNAcentral's name for it is "Pisum sativum (pea) long non-coding RNA (PSAT_LNC014581)". The record is from RNAcentral. Lineage: Eukaryota; Viridiplantae; Streptophyta; Magnoliopsida; Fabales; Fabaceae.